Molecule: long non-coding RNA, 10432 nt
Filed under: Monomorium pharaonis (pharaoh ant)
Lineage: Eukaryota; Metazoa; Arthropoda; Insecta; Hymenoptera; Formicidae
Description: uncharacterized LOC118647952
Source: RNAcentral
GCAGGGCGGCGGGAGGGUAGUAGUAGUACAGCGUAGAACGAGGGGCCAAGGGGCGCCAGCGCUCAUCGGCCGAAGGGGCUUCCACGGGUGUGUUAGGCUUGUGCUUAGAAGGGUAUGUGCUUUGCCCACCGCUUUGCUCCUCCAGCGUACAUGUGCGGCACUGCUACGUGGACGUACAAUAUCUAUAGUCUCUAUCUCCCUUUCUCUCCUCUCUCUCUCUCUCUCUCUCUCUCUCUCUCUCUCUCUCUCUCUCUCUCUCUCUCUCUCUCUCUCUCUCUCUCUCUUUCUCUCUAUCUCUCUCUCUUUGGCAGACCUUCGUCUAUUCGAGUGUGUUGCUCUAUCUGUACCUAUACCACUCUCCGUAUAUAUCUCUCUGUUUCUCUCACACACGUAUGUACACACACACACACACACACUCUCUCUCUCUCCUUUUUCUUGCUUUUUCUCUUUCUGUCUCUCUAUCGUUCAUCGUCUUCUCGUGCUGGACUCCGUUCUUUGCACCAUGCUGUCACACCAGUAUGCCACUACCGGCGAUACGUAACGCUGCCGCGGCUUUGCCGCGAUACUUGAAAGACGUAAGUUACACGGCAUCUCCGUCGAGAAUGGUCCUUCCCGCCUGCCUGCUUGCUCGCCUACCUGCCUGCGUAUGACCUGGGCGAAAGAGCAUGCCGGACGGGUUUGCUUGCUCGAUGCACAUGCAUUUUUAGGAGCUAGGAGUCUCUCUCUCCAUUUAAGCCUUCCGUAUUAUUAGCUCAUCGUCGUCGUCUUGCCACCAGGGUUAAUACCGAUGUCGACGAUCUGCGCGUAAAUAAUAGUAAUAUAUUAUGUCGAACAUGCAUCCUGCACGUAAUCUGAAUAAUCCUGAGCGAUCAAAAUCGUCGAUUAUUUCUUGUAACUGGUCUCCAUCGAUUUACACGUAGCUUAUUAUAAGUAAGUCAUUAUUAUUAGUUAAUAUUUCUGCUGUAUAUGCAGUCGCGACAGCCAGUUAAGUAGUGAGAUAUCGCAUCGACGAGGUCGAUCAUUAGAUAUAUAUUUUGCCUCGCUUUUACUUGUAUUUUUAUCUCCCCGCUUAAGCCUUCCAUGUUAUUAACCGAUCUUUGCACUCGGAUUAAUAUUCCGUUUACAGCUAGAUCGAACGCAUGAAGUCUAAUAAUUAUAACACCGAGCCGAAGAGUGAUUGUUAAAGAUACGUCUUUACGUAAUUACUGUUUUAAACUGACGAUUUGAUCCGAUUCACAUGAACUUAUCGUUAAAAUCUAGUUCACGAAAAAUGACGAACGUAGCCGGAUAUCCGCAUGUGAUUGACUUUCUUGGACAUCGAGUUACAUUUCCGUUACCAUAUACGCGUGUGUUUUGAUGCAUCAUUCGUGAACGAAUAAAACGAACCACACACAUCCUUACGAUAGUAUGCGAAAGGACUCGCGCAAACAAGAAGACUUUGAUAAUUCUCCAACGAGAUCGCGAUUUCCCUUUGCCGUAAAUCUGAAACAUUGCGGUCAGCCAAUCGUAGCGGGGUCUCAUCAGGUCAAGUACAAGCAACACCGUGGAAAAUCUGUGCGCCUCCUAAGGGAUGUAUGCAAAAUUGCUGCUAUAUAUGUCGAUCAACCUUGAUAUUCAAAACAAUUGAAUCUCGCGACAAAUAAAAUGUCACACGGUGAUUAUAUCAGCAAAAAUUGAUAAAAAAAUAAAGAGAUUAAAUAAGUCAUUUGAAAUAGCGAUUGCAAUAUUGAUAUGAUAUUUCGCAAAUUUCCAAAAUUAAGCUAUAUAAAAUCCCGUUGCAUGAUAACUUUCAAGUAAUAAAUGUUAUUAUAGUUAAUUUAUGAAAAAAUGUUGCGCAAAAUAUUCGAAGUUUUGGAAAAUACGACAAUUGCGACCGCGCUGAGACCUCAUAAUUUCGACGCGGCCGCAUCGCUGGAAUUAUCUAUGCGCUGGGCGUAAGUGGACAAACCGAUGAACGGUGACUGCGAUGCAGGAGUGACCUCGUAAAAGGCACUGUAGGAUAGUCUUAGGGGAAGUGGCCAAGUUAUCGGGCCAGCGUCGUAAAAUACUUUUUCUUUCGACUUUAUGACGGUUAUACCCCGUGCACAGACGUCCUCGGGGCUCCACCUGUCCGCUCGACUUCCUUCAAAAAGGCGAUCUUUUUAUUGGCCGGUCCGUACUUUAUUUACGACGUCUUCUGCACGAACCGUUUUUUUUUCCCUCCUCUUUCUCCUGCCUCCCCCCUUUCCAUUUCUAGUCUCUGGAAAACGAAGGAAACUCCAGUUACUCGCGAUAAAGCGCGAACUCGUUGGGAUUAAUAACGUUUUCAACAAUGCCGUAUGGAAUACGCAUGGUAAAUAAAUGAAUGACUGAACAUGUGAAUGCAUGCGCAGACACGCCUACACUGUCGCCGACAAAGGAAGUCACAGGCAUGUCAAUUGAAAAGUCGAAAGCGUAGGAAGAAAACGGCACUGAGUUCCUCCCCCUCCGGGGGAAUCCCUGAAGGGAUUAUUUCUAAUUCCUUCACGUCAAUGGGACGUUUGUCCCUUCCUUUCCUCUUAUCGCACGGUAGUACGCGAUAACGAUCUAAGCAACAGUUUGCUUCGACGGGGAGUAGGAAACUUCGGGACACAAGGAGCGUAAAAAAGCUUAAAACUUUCUGGCGAAAGUUCGAUCUUUCCGAUUCAAUCUAACGCGAGAUGAUCCGUGUCCUGUCUGGGAGAGAUAAUCUCGUCAUCGUUAUUAUCCUAAUUAUAAUUUUUGUAAAUGUAUUUGUUGUCAGCAUUAUCAGUUUAUUGAAGGAUAUCGCGCGCGGACUUCUAUUUGAAGCGGAAAGUCUAUUAACUGAAUUUAUUACGAAAACUUUUCACAAUAAGUUGAGUUUAUCAUCUCUCUCUUUUCACAUAGGAGUCACGAGUUACGAUAUUAUUGAUUUGAUUACUUAAUGUUUUAUUACUUUUAAUUUUUUAAUUUGUAAAUUAAAAGCGACUUGUUUAAGAUCCAUAUGCAACCGCAUUUGCCGGCAGAGUAUACGUACAGAAAAAUAUUUAUUUUACUGCUAAGAAAAGCAAUUACUCUUUUUCUUAUAAUAAGUAACGAUUAUCUUCAAUAAUGAAUAUUUUCUUGAUAAUAGUCUUAAAAUAUACCUGUCAUAAAUUUUAGAAAAACUUAUUAUCAUAUACUUGAAAACGAAUUUAUACUCUCUCUCUCUCUCUCUCUCUCUCUUCUCUUUCUUUUUCUCAAAGAAUAUUAUAAAAUUAAAUUUAAAAAAGUCAAAGUAAGAAGUCUUGCAAAUUGAAUUUUUAUUUUGAUUUAAUAUUCUUAAUUAAAAUAAUAAAUUAUUAGGAUUUAGAAUAUAUUUUGGAUAAAUUUGUUACUUAUAACGAUCUUACGAUAAAUUUGCAUAUGUAUAUGAUAUUUAUUAUUUAAAAUAAGAUAUUUAUUUAAUUCAAGUACACAUUUUUCUGUGUACAUAGAAGUUUAUUUUAAGUAAAUCUUACUUGUUUCAAGUAAAUAAUGAGUGUAUUUUAAGACUAUUCAUCAAGGAGAUAUUUUUUUCAAAGAUAACCGUUACUUAAAAGUAAAAGAAAAAAAACUAAAGAAUGAGAAACUGUUUUUCUUAGAAUAAGAAUAAAUUUUUCUGAGUGUAUAGUGCGACUAUUAGCUAUAAGUCAAACGAUAGAGAAAAAAUGUGUUUUUCUGUGCGUACCUGCGUGCACGCAUAAAUGUGGAUACAGAGAACGUCAUUUCAACGAGUGAACAAAGUCCACUUUGGCAUUAGACACCCUUGGUUUCUGAAGCCUCAGGCGGUAAUCCCCCUACCCUUUGCCGUGGCACCCCUAUAGAUCUCUCUAGCCGAACCACCCUCUCACUCCCUCGUGGCAAGACCCUUUCUACCUCUCUCCCCCCCGGCUACCCCCGCUCUUUCCUCGACCUCCCGCAUCGCCUUCGCUACCUUCACCCUAACCCUCCAUCUCUCUCUCUCUUUCUCACUCACUCACUCACUCUCUCUCUCUCUCUCCCUUUCUCUCUUACUGUUACGGUCCGUUCCCUCCUUCGUCUAUGUUUCUCGUUCCCUAGAGCAGCCCCUGCUUGCCUGCCGGUUUUUCUCUUCUCCUCCCCCGACCUUCGUCGUUCCUUACCGUCGCCCUCGCCCGCUGGUACUCUACCGACCCGGCUGCCUCAUUCCUCCUAUCUUCCCCCACAUCCGUCCCGCGUACCCGCACUCCCUUACAAAAAACCCAAGUCCAGUGUGGGCGCAACGGGGGGUUUCUCCCUUCGUUUCCUUUUACCCUCUUCCUAUCAUUCCUUCUUUACCUCUCUCUUAACCUUUUCCCGCCUCUCCCUCUUCUCCCCCCCCCCUGCUGUGCCCGUUUCCCUCUUCCAUCCAUGUUCUCCUCUUCUGUCUCUCUUGCGAGCCGUGCUGUACCUACGUUUCGUUCGUUCCGAGUCUGUGAUCCCGUCUCACUUCAUCAUACACCUGAAAGGUCGUCUCUCGCUUCCACUCGAGCGUUAGUGAUUCUCAACCGUCGCAACACAGAUGACUCCGUGACUGUGCGUUUUUCGUAGAACUAGAAAAAUCCUCCUUUGUAUCAGAGAAUUUUCUUGAAAUUUUUUUGAAAUUCUACACCAGUCGCUGAUAACAGUGGACUUUAAGCACGUUAAAUUGUUAACGUUUUAUGUAUUGCUAACUCCAUUAUUUAUUGUUUUUAUAUUUUAUCUUAGUUUUAUAUCAUUAUUAUUUAAAUAUUACGUGCUGUGCAUUGAUCAAAUUCGAAUAAUUUGGCGCCUCUUGGCCCGAUGCAAGUCGCGAUGCAACAUCGCGAUAAACGAUGGCGUAAUGCGUAAUACCGACACUGCGAAUCCGAAACUGCAUCGCGUAGUCCAGUAGUCCCGCUGCCUCACUUUGCAUCGAUCCUCUCGUAUAGUCCGCGCUCGUCGCUCGUCGAUAAUAUUCGUAACGGGAUAUACCGGUACGUAUAACGCCGACUAAACAUAUUACGCGCUGAGGUGUACCGUUAAGACGCGCGCAGGAUAUAAUCAGAUAAUCCCAUUACGGUCGCCACAGCCUGAAAAGUGAGCGCGCGAAUUGCCCGUACGAACUGAUUUUGCGGCAAACAGAAGGGGAGAAAAAAAGUGUUAAAAAAUCGCUGCGAAACUACAUCGGCCGCUUUCAAAUUCGUGAAUUUGACUUACGCGUGAUUUUACUGUUUGUUAUUCUUUUAUUAAACAAUAUCGCGAAACUGAGAUUUGAAUUGCUUAAUUAAGAGCAUUAUUAUCGAUUCUGUCACUUAGAAUUUUCUCAGCCUUUUUAGAUUUGAAUUUUUUUUUUAAUAAGAUAUAUAUUGUUUCGUUAUUUUUAAAAAUUUGAGCCAUCGUUAAAUACAAAAUUAAAGUCAAAAUUCAAAAUAGCCUAAUAUGAUCUUCAUCAAUGUUAUUUUACCAAUUAUUUAUACGAAAGAUUUGAAAGUUACACACGUUUUAUUUAACUUUGAAUGAUUUAUUUAAUUUUGAAUUAUUGGUAAAAGUUCUCUAUUCCACGAGUCUAAAAACACGAGGUUAAUAAAACGUGAGAUUUCUUCUGUAAGAUUGAUUGGCAACACAUGUAACGUGAAUUUAUCUGUAGCCUCGACAAUUGAAUUGAGCAUACGACGAGUUCAGACGUCCCCGUCCAGAAGAGAGGAUACGUAUAGCCUGCAGAUCGCGCACGGCGGAGAUCAAGCUGCUCGAGUUACGCGCGAGGAAAAAUAUCAGCAACAAGAUAUUCCUCUCUUGCUCGGUCGGUCGCGCACACAUGAUAGGGGAGAAUGAAGAAUCGCUGUUCCGGUGUUAUCAAGUAUUUUCGCAGGCGCGUUCAUAUUUCGCCUUACGCAUGCCCGAUCGCUUAAUGGCGUUCCUCUGUAGGAGAAACACUUCUUUUUUUUUUUUCAUCACGUUCCCAAUGCACAGACCGUUGUGUUCACGCGAGCGGCCACCGAAUAAUCGCACGGCGAUUAAUCGAUAAUGUCACACGUAGACCCCUCCGAUGUAGCAUUUGUGAAGUAUCCUAUCAGAGCCGCACGGGACCACCAAACUUCGUAAGCCAGCCCCUAUUCACUACCCAACUUGCGACACAGAAUAUCCAUACACGUGCGAUCGAAGUUUCUAGGACGCCGUGCUCGAGAAACAGGGUACCGGGAACAAAAUACCAUUCCACGUGUUUCAUCUUCGACCGUGCACUUUGGCCACCGUGGUAUAAUCUGCAAAUUGGAUAGCAUAUUUUUUUCUUUGUAAAUAACAGAUUACAUGACCAUCCCAAAAGUUAUUUUAUUUAAUUUACUUAACAAUUUAUUCGAUCGAAACUUUUCGUACGCUAUAGAUUUGUAGAUGCUUCGAUAAAUAUUAUUUUAUCAUUGGAAUAUUUUAUUCAGUUAUAAAAAAUACAGUUAUAAUUUAAUAAUAAACAAAGAGAUGUGACUCUCAAGUAUGUCAGAAAGAAUUGUGCUACACACUCUUAAAUGAGUUAAAUUUAUGUGAAAGAGGAAACAAGAUGUCGUAAUCGCGAUUUAUAACAAGUUUUAUAUAGUUCGCAUAUAAAUUAUAGUUUGAUCGAGGCUAGAAAUAACAGAGUGCCUUUUGUCCCUUGCUAGAGACUUAAUUUUCCUAUUCUCUCUUAUUACUUUCUUCUAGUUGCAAACUACAGAAUAUAACUGCGCCGGCCCCUUUCCUCCCCGUAACAUUUCGCCGACGCGGAGAAUGCAGAAAUUUUGCCGCUGUGCGUGACCGUGCACGCGCUCCGGACGGGGAGAGCCAUCAUCGCGGCGAAGCUUUCCAGGUGCAAGAUUUCCAGAGGAGAGAAGACGUCGGUUACCUCGCAUUCCCCGGGCCCUUACGUAUGUGUACAUCGACCGGCGCGGGGGACCGAAGUGGGAGCGUGUGCACCAUACCGACGCAAGAGUGCCGAGAAAGAAACUUCAGCUCUCUCUCCUCUGGCAUCACACAUGGUGGCCACGUUGCCGCCUCUGCCCGAUGUGCCGCCCGUGUGUGCGUAUAUGUGCGACGAGACGCCGAGAUGUUCCCUCGCCUUUUCCUCCUCCUCCUCCUCCUCCACCUUCUCUCUACCACUAAUGCAUUCCCCGGCGUUAAUACGCGAAGAGGGCUCGCACCGCGACCACUCUCCGCAGCGUGUGUAAAGACGUAACUCAGGGCCCGUACUUCGCCGCUUUCUUCCUCGUUGCCGCGCGCCGUCGCCUUCGCGGUCGUGCCCCCACUCGUGACCGGAGACUCCCUUUUAAUAUUACCGGUGAGGCACCGGAGCCGCGACGCACUCUCGAGAUAUGAUCUCCAGGUGAUAUUUACGCUGAUUCGCGGGGCACUUCUCAAUCGACGGUCCUCACACAACCAAAGACCUCUUUUCGUAGAGAAGAAGGUAGUAUUAUAACCAAUGUAGGUAUUACAGCCACUCGUGAUAACUCUAUUAUUAAGUGAGGAAUUAUAGUAAUUACUUAUGAAAUUAUUUGUUAAGUAGCUCGCGAUUGGCGCUAAUACGCCAACAGCCGAUAUUUUUUACUUCUACUUUUGAAUAUUUUAAUACUUUUUCAAGAUACAUUUAGCCUUGAAUUACGCAUACUUCUCUUUUUUUUAAACUUAUCAUUACGUAAAUAUAUACUUGAGUGUUGUUUUUUUGUUACAUAACAUUUUAGUCGACUAUACACACUUUGAGUAUAUAAAAGUUAAACAAUAACAUGGGAUUUUGUUAAUAUGUGUCUGCUAAACGUUUCAACAGAUCGUGACUUCUUUUUCAUCUUGAAAUCGUUAUUUGAUUGUAGCUCUAUUGUUAAUAUACAUAUAAUUUAUGUACAUGCAUAGCUGUUUAGUACUGCAAUCUAUAUACUAAAGAGAUCAUAUGUUCGUACAUAUAUUUACAUAUGUUCUACAAUAUUUGUUCUUUAUUUUAAAUAUAUAGGUUUAUAACGAAACGCGCCGUGUUUUUAAAGAAAACCAACUUUUUAAAUCUAGUUAAGUGACCACGUUACUAUCCUUGCUUUUCUUUGGCCCAUUAUGCAGUGUCACAUUUUUAUAAAUGACAUUUUAAGUAUUAGAUAUUUUGUAAUUUUAAGCUUAGAAUUGACAGCGUAUUUUGGCAAAUGGUAAUGUCAAGUUUUCAAUUAAAAAAUAUUGAUUAUUAACAAAGUUAUUGUGCAAAAAGUAAAUGAGAGGGGACCAUAAUAUCACCUUCUUUUGGUAUCUCUAGUGGUAUUCUAAAAACGCGCGUAUAAUACAAUAAUGUUGUAUUUUGAAAGGAAAGAAAGUUGGAAGUUUUUUUUUUUUUUUUUAAUUUUGAAAGACACAAUUGUGUACUUCCAUUUUUUUCGGGUUAAACUUCGUGAAUUCGGUAUAUGCAAAUGCAUUCGAUAAAACCCCUUUUGACUGUAAUAUGUAUAGCGCAAGGAGGAACGGGAGAGGAAAGGAUGAUUUUCAAAACACCGUUCACACAUACAUACCCAAAGCGUAUUCGCGCAACGAUCGUUGCACCGCGCAUUAAUAUGCGAAAGCGUGCACGACGCAAAAUGACGACUAAUAAUGCAUAGCACGGUUAUGCGAGAGUUAAUUAAUGACUGGCAAAUACAAAAGAUUCGCAAAUACAAAGGAUAAAUACCGUAUUUUCCCUCGAUCGCGACUUAAUUCUUUUCAUUUUUUCCAGACUUUGUAUAUCAAUGCUAAAAGUAAUUAUUUACAAAAGUUGCAUAUAAGCGUCACUAUGAGUUUUGCAUUAUCGAGUUCACAGUACGCUUCCUAUCCUGAAACUGCAGGGAUUAAUUUCGUGAGAUUACAUUUGCGUACCCGAUAUUUGAAACGAUAUUCUUUUUUCUAUCGAGAUGCGUUUUCCAAACGCGCUGCCAUCUUCGAAGGGUACGGAAUCGGAUCUGAACUCCGUGUGGCUCUCCUCUAAUUAAUAUCCGGCGUAGGAUUGGCCGAGAUGAGUAGCUAACGAGCGGAUGAGACGCGCAUGUCACAAAGUCAUUCGGUAAACGGCCAAACUCAUCGCGAGAGCAUCCCCGAGGAGGUGCGAACUUUCGCCGCAGUUCGCGAGUGAGUACCCGAUCUAACGGGGGAUUUGACGUAAGGGGCAAUUUGAUGCAUCGUCGGAUUCAUUACUCGUCUAGAGAGACGCAGUUUUGUCGCGUCUGUCCGACAUAUCGCGACACGUCUUGUCAUUUCUUCGCUUACGGAGGACGUGCCCUGAAAAUUGCCACGUAAGAUGCGAUAAGCGCUGAAAUCAAAUGUGUAAAAAAUACCGCGAAAUUCGGCAAAAUUACCAAGGGAUUCUAGAGAUAUGCGAACUAUCGGAUCAAGUAAGAUUCGAUUUCAUUCAUAUUCGAAUCGCUAUAUUCAUAUACGAAUCGAAUUAUUUGGAUCCAAACUAUUAAAAAAUUUCGAAUUUAAAAAGUUCGAAUAUAAAUCAGAUGUAUUGAUAAUUUUAUUAAAAUUAUAUUUAAAAUAAUUUUAUAUUAUAUAAUUAAUUUUUUUUCUCUUAGAAAUCUUUUUUAUUAUGUAUAUUAAAAUUUUACUCAAUACAAUAAUUAUGUUGUUAAUUAAAAAAUAAGUUUUAACGAUUUAAAUUCAAUUUAAUUCGAUUCAAUUUGAUUUGGACAAAAUUUUGUCGAUUCAGAUUGAUUUAAUGUCAAAACAUCUUGAUUCGCACAUCUCUAUUUUACUUGCCUGUUGCAGCUGGAAGUGAGAUAGAUGAUAUUUUAAUUUAAUAAUAGUAUUACGCUAAGUCACGCUUAGACAUAAUAAUUACGAAACGAUUAUCAUGAAAGAUAAUUUUAUUAGACGGUUAAAAUUAAUCCCUCCACUUUAAAGGAUUUAAAUCAAAAAAGAUUAAAAAUGUAACUUGAUUUUCAUCAAUCAUUUUCUUUGAAUUGUAAUUUUAAGAGUCUGUUAAGAAAUUAGGUUAUUACAAAGAAAGAUCUCUAAACCGUUUCAAGCGACCUACAAACACAUGUUUUCGACCGACCCUUUUCAGACUCAUGCGUCAUUUCUUUCCGAAUUUCACACGUCUGUCUCUUCCGGCACGUUCAUGUUCAAACAUGCAUAAUUGCAAACGGCUGACCUCAGGUUACUGUCACAAAAACCGGUGCGGGGCCGCCCCCCUCGCUUCGCAAAGGACUUUCCCCACCGCUACUACCUAAGUUUCCACUGCCCUUCUGACUUUCAUUGGCACGCGUCAAAUCACUCGACAUCUCCUUAAACCAAUAAAAUAUCGGAAGAAAAGCUACGCAAUACGGUCAGAGUGGGGACCGCGUUCGAAAAGACACGUUCGACAUUCAUUAGGUAGUCUGCCGAAUGCUUUGAGAUAGUUUAGAUGUAACUACUGUUCGACUUUUCUCUCUGCGAUUCUACACAAGUGUGAGCGCAACUUCGAUUUCCAUCGAAAGCGAUAACGCGAGUUUAUAUGUAAAAAAAAAAA